GUGAAUCAUCGAAUCUUUGAACGCAAAUUGCACUUCCUGGUAUUCCGGAAAGUAUGCCUGUUUGAGGGUCAGUUAAAUAUAAAUCGGGGUUGUUUCUGCCUUUCGUUGUGACUCGUCUUAAUUGGGUCGUCUUACCUUCGGUUAAGUGCCUUAAAAUUUUUGCAUGAUUUUCGCACGUAUUUCACUCUC
Molecule: unclassified non-coding RNA, 189 nt
Filed under: Glomus sp.
Lineage: Eukaryota; Fungi; Glomeromycota; Glomeromycetes; Glomerales; Glomeraceae
Description: partial contains 5.8S ribosomal RNA and internal transcribed spacer 2
Rfam family: 5.8S ribosomal RNA (bases 1-71)
Source: RNAcentral